RNAcentral lists this ribosomal RNA (277 nucleotides) under uncultured bacterium. RNAcentral describes it as "partial 16S ribosomal RNA". It matches the Rfam family "Bacterial small subunit ribosomal RNA", at positions 524 to 796 of the family's 1533-position model. The record is from RNAcentral.
UACGAAGGGGCUAGCGUUGUUCGGAAUCACUGGGCGUAAAGCGCACGUAGGCGGACUUUUAAGUCAGGGGUGAAAUCCCGGGGCUCAACCCCGGAACUGCCUUUGAUACUGGAAGUCUUGAGUCCGAGAGAGGUGAGUGGAACUCCGAGUGAUUAGAGGUGAAAUUCGUAAGAUAUUCGGAAGAACACCAGUGGCGAAAGGCGGCUCACUGGCUCGGUACUGACGCUGAGGUGACGAAAGGCGUGGGGAGCAAACAGGAUUAGAUACCCCGUAGUCC